GACGAACGCUGGCGGCGUGCUUAACACAUGCAAGUCGAACGAAGUGGCGAACGGGUGAAUAACGCGUAAUCAACCUGCCCUUCAGAGGGGGACAACAGGUGGAAACGACUGCUAAUACCGCAUACUGAAGGAGGGGCUUGCGUCUGUUUAGCUAGUUGGAGGGGUAACGGCCCACCAAGGCGAUGAUCAGUAGCAGGUCUCAGAGGGUGAACGGCCACAUUGGGACUGAGACACGGCCCAGACGCCGACGGGAGGCAGCAGGUGGGAAUCUUCCGCAAUUGACGAAAGUCUGAGGGGGCAACGCGGCGUGAGUGAGGACGGCCUUCGGGUUGUAAAGCUCUGUUAAUCGGGACGCGGUACCUGAAUAGAAAGCCACGGCUAACUACGUGCCAGCAGCCGCGGUAAUAC
Molecule: ribosomal RNA, 408 nt
Filed under: uncultured bacterium
Lineage: Bacteria
Description: partial 16S ribosomal RNA
Rfam family: Bacterial small subunit ribosomal RNA
Source: RNAcentral